Molecule: ribosomal RNA, 329 nt
Filed under: uncultured eukaryote
Lineage: Eukaryota
Description: partial 18S ribosomal RNA
Rfam family: Eukaryotic small subunit ribosomal RNA
Source: RNAcentral
CCCUUAGAUGUUCUGGGCCGCACGCGCGCUACACUGAUGCAUUCAACGAGUCUAAAACCUGCUCUGAUAGGGGUGGGUAAUCUUUUGAAUGUGCAUCGUGAUUGGGAUAGAUGAUUGCAAUUUUUCGUCUUCAACGAGGAAUGCCUAGUAAACGCAAGUCAUCAGCUUGCAUUGAUUACGUCCCUGCCCUUUGUACACACCGCCCGUCGCUCCUACCGAUUGAAUGAUCCGAUGAAUAUCAUGGAUUGAGGAUGCAAGCAGGUUCGCCUGUCUUCAUCUUCGAGAAGUGAAGUAAAUCUUAUCAUUUAGAGGAAGGAGAAGUCGUAACA